This 91-nucleotide small nucleolar RNA is filed under the name Plasmodium gonderi. RNAcentral's name for it is "small nucleolar RNA snoR01". It matches the Rfam family "small nucleolar RNA snoR01". Lineage: Eukaryota; Apicomplexa; Aconoidasida; Haemosporida; Plasmodiidae. The record is from Rfam by way of RNAcentral.
CAAAUGAUGAUAGUAUUUUUUUUAUUUUUGAAAGAUUUUGAUUUCACGAUCAAAUGAUUUUCCAAUCCUCUAAGAAGUUCUGAAAUGUUUU